GAGAUAGGGUCCUCCGGGGCCUGACCCUCCCACCCUUUGUGUAUAUACCUCUGUUGCUUCGGUGGAUCCGGCCGCGGUCGGUGCGCCAGAGGCCCCAUUUAUUCUGAAUGAUUAGUGCUGUCUGAGUCCACAUGCAAAAUAAAUCAAAACUUUCAGCAACGGAUCUCUUGGUUCU
This 175-nucleotide unclassified non-coding RNA is filed under the name rhizosphere metagenome. RNAcentral describes it as "partial ribosomal RNA internal transcribed spacer region". The record is from RNAcentral.